Molecule: ribosomal RNA, 250 nt
Filed under: uncultured prokaryote
Description: partial 16S ribosomal RNA
Rfam family: Bacterial small subunit ribosomal RNA
Source: RNAcentral
ACAGAGGGUGCAAGCGUUAAUCGGAAUUACUGGGCGUAAAGCGCACGUAGGUGGCUUGGUAAGUUGGAUGUGAAAUCCCCGGGCUUAACUUGGGAAUUGCAUUCAAGACUGCCUUGCUAGAGUGUGGAGGGAAGCGGAAUUCCAGGUGUAGCGGUGAAAUGCGUAGAUAUCUGGAGGAACAUCAGUGGCGAAGGCGGUCUGCUGGGCAGUUUCUGACACUGAUGCGCGACAGCGUGGGGAGCAAACAGGA